Molecule: ribosomal RNA, 427 nt
Filed under: uncultured bacterium
Lineage: Bacteria
Description: bacterial SSU rRNA
Rfam family: Bacterial small subunit ribosomal RNA
Source: RNAcentral
UAGGGAAUAUUGGACAAUGGGGGCAACCCUGAUCCAGCCAUGCCGCGUGAGUGAAGAAGGCCCUCGGGUUGUAAAGCUCUUUUGUCCGGAAAGAAAAGCAUUCGGUGAAUACCCGGAUGUUCUGACGGUACCGGAAGAAUAAGCACCGGCUAACUUCGUGCCAGCAGCCGCGGUAAUACGAAGGGUGCAAGCGUUACUCGGAAUUACUGGGCGUAAAGCGUGCGUAGGUGGUUGUUUAAGUCUGAUGUGAAAGCCCUGGGCUCAACCUGGGAAUGGCAUUGGAAACUGGGCAGCUAGAGUGCGGUAGAGGGUAGUGGAAUUCCCGGUGUAGCAGUGAAAUGCGUAGAUAUCGGGAGGAACAUCUGUGGCGAAGGCGACUGCCUGGACCAGCACUGACACUGAGGCACGAAAGCGUGGGGAGCAAACA